AAUAAAAAAAGUUCACAAUCAGCAACUUACAUGUCCGAUAAUAUCAACCAAUGGCAAAUCUCUACCGGUGAAGCAUUUUCGAGAUGUGGCAACAGUACAUCAGCAACAGCACGCUUCAGAGGAAAUAGCAGAUACCUUGAUGCAGCAUCAAACAUUUCCUCCACCUGUCCAAGCAGCAGUUUAAUAUUAAAGCAAAUGCAUCGACUCGUACCAAGUGAUACCCUGAAUCGAAACAAAUAGAUACCUGAUCUGGAUCAAUAUCUGUUAAAGCAUCAGUGUACCUGAGAAAGGUACAGGAUCACGUAUUGUCAGACAAUAAGUUAAGUUUGCCUGGUGGCACUAAUCAAAUCAAGUGGUCUUUGGGGUGAUUUGAAAUUGAUUUUUUUUGAAAAAGGUAAAGAUUUAUGAACCUUGCUAUUUUCCCAAUAGAUCAUUUGAAUGGGUCAUUUGUGAAUAAAUUUAAAUGUAAUUAUUGCAAAAAGAAAAAUAUAAGAAAAAUAAAAAUACGAAAAAUGUUUCCAAUUUAUUUAUGACCAUAUCAACUACCAAAAGAUAAUUUUAGUUAAAAUUCUCAAAUCUCUCCCCUCCUCUUAAAUCUUUACCUCUCUUAGGUGAUUUACGAAAUUCUCUCCGAACCCACAAAUCUCCCCCAAAUCUCCUCUUUUUAGUAUCCAAACGGGUGAUUUGGGACCUGGAAAAAAAUUUGGUCCCAAAUCACCUGUACAAAUCACCCCAAAUGACAUGUAACCAUCUUUCCAGGGGGGGAAACAAGGUUGGUAGUAGAAAACGAAUUAAUAUGUAGACAAUACUUACAUAUACUCGAGCAUCUUCUCAAAAGCCUCCAUGCUCAAGUCAUGUUCUUCAAUGCACGGAAGAACAUCCCCACUCAACCCAUUCUUCCCUUCAUUAAAGUCCUUCAUACGGGACAAUCUAGCUCUAAAAUACUCGGACCUUGCAGCUAAAACUACUUGAUGACAGUGGAAAACCUUCUUCUCCACCCUAAUACAAACAUCAGCUAGAUCAUUUACACAAUCGCUUGUCUGCACCGCGUCAAAACAACGAACCAGCUUAUCAAUGAUUCUAUUAUCAGGGGUUUGGUCCAAAGUGGACCUUCCCAGAGAAGUCUUAAGAAUUCGAUGUAAUGAAGCUGGAAGCCGGUCUUCCUCAGGCAGGGAGGAUCCCUGUAGGAUGAAUCGCUUCUGGGUAUUGUCCACAUCUUUCAAGGCCUUGUAUUCUGCGAAUUUCUGGUGAACUAGUUCGUUUUCAAGAAUUCUCUGUAACGACUCGCAUUUGCACACUUUACAGAUUCUUACAAGACCUUCCAUAUCAUCAACUGCAACUUCUAGUCUGUCGGAAUAGAAGAAAUGAAGGAGGCAGAAGAGAGCAGGAUAAGAGAGCUUCUCCUUGGCAAACCUUACUUCCCUUCGAUCCCUCCAAUCCGUUUCUAACUUCUUCUUAAAGAACGGAGAACGUGCACUUAGUAUAACUCUAUGAGCCUCAACAGGCCUACCUUGCACAAAAAACACCACAUCAGGAGGGAAGUGGUUGGAAUUCGGUGCACCACCAAAUGAAACACCUACCCAACAAUAAUCACACACUUAGUGUCGAAUUUCGUACAUUACUUGCAAGAACAAAUUCGCAGAAACACAACAAGUCCAUUAGGGUUUGAAUACACAGAUUUCUCCCAGCAAUUCAGAUACAACUCAUUUCUCCUAGCUUGGCACUACACAAAAAUCAAACUAAGGCAUUACACAAUUCAAUCAAACUAGCAAAGAAUCUCAACAAGCUUUGAACUUCGAAAGCAGCAAACUUCGAACACAUACAAAAAAAAUUGCAAAAACGGCGGAAAAAGGGCACGAACCUGGAACUUGGGAGCUGCCUUCAACAAGCUCCAAAUACGCCCUAUUGGCGGCGCAACUCAAGAAAACAUCACGCAAGGCGGCGGGCAGAGGACCUAAAGGAGGCGGACGAGCUUCGAAUGCUUUCAAAAGCUUCCUGACUUUCAAAUUCAAGGCGGCAUAGUGGCACCUAUCGCCGUCGAAGGUAUGCUCGGAGCAAAUAGCACCGCUUUCGAGCAGCAUACGAGCAGCCUCGAGAUGGCCAGCAAGACAGGCGUAGUACAAGGCGACGGAAUCCCAUUGGUCGCGAGCGUUGACGUUGACGCCGGAAUCCAAGUGGUAGCGGAGGCGGUCGACGUCGCCGGCACGAGAGGCUUCGAAGAUGUCGCCGUUGGGGACCUUCUUGAGGCGAAGGGAAGUGUUGAAAUCAGAAGAGUCGAGGUUGAUGUCAUCGAGGUCGAUUGGGUCCAUGGUAUGCGGAGACAUUUUGGCCGGAAGGGAGUGGGGAAUUGAUGGAACCCAGAAACGGUUCUUGUUCGUCAGAUUUUCAGUGGGAUGCUACUGGAAGUGUUGGUUCUGUUUAGGGUAUGAAAUGAAAAUGAGAUGCUUUUUCAUAAUGGCGGUUAGGUUAACAAACCGAACUGGGCGGAGAUGAACUUUACUAUAUUCAAUUUUUUGUGUUUGUUACCUUUAGGUGAAUUCAAGCUAUAAAAAUUUAGUUUAUGUUGAGUUCGAGUCUAUUCGAGCAUGGCUUGUUAACUACUUUUAACGAGUCAAAUUUCAAUUUCGCUCAUUAAAACUCCUGAAUCCAAGUUUGAUAAUGUAUUUGAAUCGUGUUCACUAAACAACAUCCACGAGUCAAGCUAUCCUAAAAUUUACAAAAAAACAAAUAGCAGCAGCCAGAAAAAACUAGAGUUGUUGACGAAUCAAACGGCUCAGUGUUCGGUUCAAAAAAAACUCAUUUGUAACUCGGCUUGAUUUUAAAUUAGCUAAGCUUGAAUUAGUAUAUACUCGAUUCGAUAACCCAACUUGAAUACUAGCUUGAGUGUAUGACUCGUUAUUAUACUCAAUAAUACAACAUAUAAAAUAUGUGAUUUGUGACUAGUGCUAAUGAAAAUGUAAGUGGUACAUUAUUUGGAUUUAACUAUUUAAUAAAAAUGUAUAAAUUUGUAAAUUUUAAGACAGUUUGUUAACUAUUUUUUCAGCUUGACUAGUCUAUGUCUUUUUAAUAUACACAAACUUCAAAUUUAACUUAAAUUGUAAUAAAUCAUCGGAUAAUUUUAAUGAGCGAAGUUAAGUUAAACUUGAGUUUGGAUUGUCAAAAAUACUUAUAACUCAUUUGGGUUGAUGAUUUAAAAUAAGAAAAAUUUGAAAUAAUUAGAAAUUUAAAAUAAAAAGAUUUGCAUAGAAUAUAAUGAAUAAAAAUCGAAUAGACUAAAAUUCGCCAAAAAAAUAACGGACGAAACUUAAACAUAAUAGAGCUCGGCUCGACUCAUCAACGGCUACAAACAAACCCAACUUUUAUCAAAUGAUUUCAAUUCACUACAAACCUCUCCAUCCUCCCUCCCAUCCAUCAACCGCACCCAACAAUUUACAUUUAUUAAAGAUUAAUCAAGCAUCAAGCAACUCCGCUACAUCAUGAUUGAUGACAAAGGGAGAAGAAUACCAGAUAAUCAAAGCAACAGUCAGAAAGAAGGACACUUUUGCCCGUUUUCCUGAGUUCAGAUAUCACGGCAGAGAAGGGGCAUCAUAAGCUUUCGAGUAUUUCUUCACUUAAAAGGGACGUAGUAGUUCCUUUCCAGGAUUCAUCUUUUUAGUUCCCUUCCUCUUCUUUUUCAUGACUAUGUAUAUAUGCAAACAGUUAAACAACCUUAAUAACAUGUUACACCACUUUGUGCUAUUUAUCCCCCAGUUUAACAGUGUUUAGUCUCCUCAGUCGCUCAUCAAGUUCUGCCAUUACUGCUGGUUCUUGCUUCUUCCUUUGCUUCGAUAUCGUAUUCGUAGUCAUUGAGCCUACUUUGUCAAAUGCCACCUGCGAAAAAAAACAGACAUUUACUUGACAUGAGCAUCUCAACAACGGCAGUCACACUCUAGCCUUUUUGAGAUGAGAGUAUAGAGACUUACUAUGAGUAAAUCAUCAGGAUCAAAGAGGUGGUGUGUGGUUCUCUGCAAUAUGUUGAUCACAUCACCAACAUGGUGUGUAAUGAGCAGCUGCUCUUCUUUCAUCUGCGAUCGAAAAAAAGACAGGAUCUUUUCAAUCAUUGAUGUCCAAAUUAAAAUCGGGACAAAAGAGUUCCUCAUUUGAAGAAGUAGCAGCACCUUGAACAUGGCCAAAGCGACAUGAAAGAGAACUUUAGCUCCCUCGUAGAAAAGGACAUCCCAUACUCGUAACGUUGUCUGCAUAAUCAUCAGGUGCCGGGGGUCAGAGAAUCUAAAGAAUCCCAAGUGAAUGAAAAGAAAAAAAUCAACAUUUGUUCAAAAGUUCGAACCUCUGACGGUAAGCUCUUAGAGAAUAGGCAUAAGAACCAUUCCGUGGCUACAAGGGAGACGUCGAACUCCAACGAAUCCAAAUGAGCUGCUAGCCUGCAGUUUCCAAUAUUUUUCCAAGACUCAAUGUAUGACAAAGGUUGCAAAGAAUGCAGACUGAUGUGAAUUUUUCGAAAAAGAUAUUACCUUGGACACUGUUUAUCCAGCAAAUCCUUGAAAACUCUUUGUUCAACAUGACACCCUGACAAGUUAGUUGUGUAGCAGUCAUUAACCAAUACAUUCUCCAGGAGGACGGCUAGCAUCCAAAAUGCAUCUUCCUCUGUUUUCAUUACAAGCAAUAACAAUGCAGCAACGUAGUUUAAACCCUGCAUGACCAAGGAGCUACAAGUUAGUGUAAAAUACAGAAAGCGAAUCAGUUUUGUUCUUCUAAGAUUUUAAGAUUGGAACCUAGGAUGCAGCUCAAAUAUACAAGAACAGAAGUGUUGCAGCAAUUGUUAGCAAACAUCAAGCCCCGCUGGAUACGCCCAUGAAAGAACCUCACCUGGCAAUAGCCAACAUCUGAAUCACGGAAGGAAUACGCAACAAGAACACGACGAAGAGCAGCAUGACCUUCUGGAGUGUCCAACCAUGGAUGACCAGGAAAGGUGCGGGGCAAGUCCUGUUAGCACAAGAGCAAGAUGUCAAACUUAAUUAAUAGCAAUAUAGAACAGCAGGCAAUAGAAAGGAUCUGGUAAUCCCUUCCCGGAAUUCGUGGAAGUUCGGAACUUUUUCUCUACUUCCUAAUUUUGAUCAUGAAAUGUCCUGAAUGUAUCAUGAAGCAUUUUGUAAGUAACAGUUAACGAACGAUGCAAGAGGGUUAAUAGGCUACCAGAGAGAGGAGCUUAUGUUACUUCAUCAAACAUUGAUCAAUACGUCAGAUGACAAUAAUAGGCUUCAACCAGAUAUUCACAAGCCGUAGUCUGAGGAAACUCCUUAUCAUGGUAUAAGUAGAUAACUUCAAAGUUUGACUGUUGGUCAUUGCCAGAUCAGACAAAGCCACACAAACAACGGCAUUCAGCUGACCAGAGAUACUGAUCCGUUUUAGGGAUCUCUACUGAUCUUGUGCAUCAGAAAUUCAGAAUUCAGAUCCUCAAGUUUUGGCAAUGACAGCAACUCUAUCCGAAGUAACAUCACAACUAAAUGGAGUGAAUGAAACUCCUCCAAAAGGCAAGCUUAUCCAUCAAAAUUGGACAAAUCACAUCGAGACAAUGUCAAGUUGUUAACGCAAACAUUACCAACUAUCCAUGGGAAGCAAAACCAAAUAUGACACCAUCUAGGUUAUUAAUCAAAAGUAACGCAAUGAUCAAAGUAAUCCAGACUCACAUGAUCAAUCUGUCUGGUAGCUGGAGUGACCUUCCCUUCAACAGCAACGAUCAAAUCAUUGUAAUAGCUAUCAGGAACAGUGGAUUUCUUCUUAGCAGCUCCAGAGAGGGAGAACCAAACCUUAGGCCUAAGAACAGGAGGUAUCCCCUUCCUGAUAAGCCUCUUGAGAGCUAUGGAGUUGGUAAUAGCAGACAAUUUGAGGGAGGACUUCAAGGCAAGUGACAAAGCCUGCGGCUGCAAGUACCAAUUGGCACCUUUGCUAGCCUCCAAUGCCCACCAAACUCUCCCUUGCUCCCUCACCUUCUCCCUCACUUCAUUCAUCACAUUAGCAUCAUCAACAUUGCCUUCAACAGUGAAGCCGUACAGGUCCUGGAAUUUGACUAUUAUAUUAGCCCUCCUUGAAUGGAUGCUCGGCCUCAGAAUCGGGACGUGCUGCUGAAAAUCUAAAGGAAGCUCCCUUUUCUGGUACAUAUUUGUUGUUCUUGUUCAAAAUGAGCAAAAGACUUGAAUUUUGAAACCCUGGUUGCUUGAAGCAUUCAAUGAAAGAAGAAGAAAAGCCAAAGCAGUCUACACCAAGGUACAAAAUUGGGGAUGUUUUACCCUUGGGUUGUUUCCAGUAACGAAGACAAAAUCCACACGAGAACAAGCACAAAGCCUGAAGCUUUGCAAAAGUGGUGGAGAAAACAACUAAAGAAAUAGAAGCCGACUGGUAGAAAGGCCUUAGAUUCAGUCAGAUACGCAAAACUCCCAGAGGAUAGAAACAAAAACCCAGCUGAAGAAUCCUCCAGAUGUGUACCAACAGGCGAGGAGGAGAGGCUCAAGGACAGAAAAGAAAAUGCAAAAUUUUUACUCGAAAGGAGGACAGAUUAUCUGGAGCCAGAAAAAUGAGCAAUUAAGGAAGACGACGAAGCUGCUGGAACUGGAGAAUCAUAAGAAAAGAAAGAAACUUUGAAAGCAGGAAACUAUUUUUGAAGAGAGAAAAAGCAAACACAACGGCGAGAAAACAGGGGCGGCCUGGGUAGUCCGGCCUGGGUACAGAUGAUCAAAUCAUCUGUACAAACAAAUGAUUGGAUCGGACGGCCCACAGCACACCCAAAUUUAUCAACCACUGGAAAGGAAGUGUUGGAACCCCACUGAUUUUCACUUUCUUUUUGAAAGUAACUUUCCCCUUUUUUCCUUAAUUUCUAUUUUUCACUAAUUUUAUUUAUUAUAAAAUUUUGUUAUCCAAACCUUGGAUCAAAUAAAAAAUUUAAAAUUUAAAUUAAAAACAUAAUAUUCUUGACUUUAAAUCUUAAACUCUAAAGCAAAUCAAAAAUUUAAAACUCAAAAUUUAAAAUCCAAAUUGAUUACCUAAUAUUUUAGACCCUAAACCUUAAAAUCUAAACCAAAUUCUAAAAUUUAACUCUAAAUAAAACCAAAAAUCUGAAAACCCAAAAUAAAAAACUCUAAUCUCAACCCAAAUCUAAAUCUAAAACUAAAAUUCAAUAUUGUUAGACCUUAAAACUUAAAACUAUAAACCCAACCUCAAAUAAAAAUCCAAAAUUAAAAAAUCUAAAAUCAAAAAAUCUAUCUUAAACUCUAAACCUAUAAACAAUUUAUAUAACAAAUAAAACUAGUGAAAAAUAGAAAUAACAAAAAUAAUGGCAGACACCAGCAUCUCGUUUCCAGCCGUUGAUUACUUCAGACCUCAUCUAAGCCGUCCAUCUGUAUCAUCUGCAGGUACAGAUGAUUUGAUAAUCUGUACCCAGCGGAAAUUGCGGCCUGGGGGUUGUGUAUGCCACAGAAUCACAGAAAGGAUUUAAGUGGACAGCGGAGAAGAAAUGAAAAUGGUUAAUCAGUUUGGUGACUGUUUUGUAAAUUGUCCGGACAGUACGGUCCUAUUGUUGUUUGAUUGUUUGUUACUUUAUUUUCUUGCAGCGUUUUGGAGAUUAAAUUAUUGUAAGAAAAUUGGAUAACAUGGAGAGACGUUGGAAUUUUUCUCCCCUUUUGUUUAUAAUUUUUAUUAGGAAAAAUUAUGACCUCGUCUUCAUUGCAGCCCGGCAGAAUGCGAAUUACCUAACUGCCCUCUCAAGGCAAGGGGUACUUUUGUAACUGUAAGAAGCAGCUCAACGCGCUUGAGAAACCAAUCAGAAUGGCAAGGAAGUAAAUUACAAUGACGAUCAGCACCAAAGGCGUGGUGGGGCCCACAACAAUGAUUGCCAGCAAUUGUAGCUGAGCUGGCCCAGCCCAAUGGCCCAACUAUUCCUUAGAAACGCUCCGACAUGGGAAUUCGUGACACGUUUCGAGCCUUUUUAUUAUUAUUAUUAUAUCAUAUUUGAUUUUCGUUCAUCGUCUUCACGUGUCCUCCUCUGCCCCUCACUGAGUUACCACUGUGCACGACCCACCGGACAUUUAUUCUUGAAGAUAAUUUCCCCGUCGUCGUCCGCCUCAGUAAUCAAAUACAUCUCCGGAUCCGGAACAAAAUAUGCCAGAAACGGGAACUGAAUAUUCACAAUCAAAUUCCUUUUUGGACAUUUUCAUUUACUGGGUUUUUGAGGUUUUUCACUCGAAAUCUUGCUCAGUGAGUUAAAUUAAGUUUCCCUCAUACUUCAAACACAUCCUACAAUCUCCUCCAUGGAUAGGCAUUUUGUUACAUUCCUAUAACUAAAGAAUUUUAAAUUAAUUACUAAAUAAUCAUAUUACUAUUAUAUUAAUUGUACAACGCAUUAGAAUUGCAAGUGUAUAGGAUAAAAUUAUAAAAUUAAUAAUUUAUCUAUUUCUAUUAGGCUUGGCAUUUUGUUAUGGAAAUUCGAAAAACCGUCUGAAUUCGAUCCGGUCAAUGUGGGUAAAAUUCGGUUUGACCGGAUGGCGAAUUGGAUUCGGAUUAAUCCGAAUCCAAAAAUGACGAGCUAUGGGUGGGGAUCGGAUUCACUGGUAUCCGAUCCGACUCCUCUGGAAAUAUAUAUACAUUACUAAAUUUAUAUUUCUGCAAUGUUGUUGGAUGGUUUAUUGUGUUGGUUAUUGUUGAUGAUGGAUUGAUGGUUGACUUGUUGUUUACUAAAUUUAGUAUUUUGGAUAAUUUUAUAGUUGUGUGGUUCAUUAUUUUUUGUUUAAACUCGAUUUUCAGUCUUGGUUCAUUAUGUUUCGGAUCAAAUUCGGAGCUUCGACCAACCCGAAAUCCGAUGAUGGGCGGGGACGGUAUCAAAUCUAUUGCUAUCAUUAGGCAGGGAAUCCCCGAAUCCGACAAUUUAACAGAUGAGUAAUGAAUUUGUAUAAAUCCAACUCCAACCCACCCGAAUGCCAACCCUAAUUUCUAUCGUAUUUAAUUAAGGGGUAAACUUAGAAGACAAGGGAUGUAUGAUAUGAUACUGAAGGGAAGGAAAAAAAUAAAGCUUUAAAUGAAGUGUGAAAUUCAUUUUCAAAACCAUAAUCCUAAUCAUCAUCAACGCCAUGAUCAUUUAAAUCAUCAUCAUCCAUCUCACACGAUGUUCGUAGUGGGCACGUUACACAUAUUCUUUAUCAAUCAUUAAUAGACAUUACCCAUUAACCAUGUUUUAAUGAAUAUAUGAAGAUUUAAUUUUAUCAAUCUAACUUUCGAAACCACUCUUAAAUAUUAUUUGACUUUCUCGCUCUAAAUCUUAAUUCAAAAUAUGAAAAACAAAUCAUACAUGUAAAUAGAGUAACCCAACAACCUCAUAUUCAUAAAAUAAUUAACCAUAUUUAUUUAUCACCAUCAAUCAUUCCAUAGACAUUUUAUCCAUCUUCUACUUUUGACCAAAUCGAAUUAUUAAUUUAAACUUUAAUAUCACGAUUAAAUAUUAUUUUCUCUUCCCAUUCCAAAAAAAAAAAACUCAAAAAGUAAAUCAAUCUAUCCUCACACUCAUAAACAAUACUCUGUCCUACCACAUUGUUAGAUAAUCCAAGGUAAACGAUUGAUUGUUCCAUUUGGAGGUACACUUUCCAUUAAUCAAUCACAGGGACCCAUUUCACUUUUUGUAUUGUUCAUAAAAAUACCAAAAGAAUAUUAUAUCAUUCUUUCGGCCGUCGUCGAUCCAGGAUCCUCGUCCUCAUACUGGUAUUUCUUCAAACUGCAAUCAAUUUGCUGCGACUUCUAUCUUCAAAAUUAAUUUUGAAGAGCAAAAUUGUGGAGCCUCUGUUCUUUAUAUUCAUUAAAGCAUAGAGGAAGAGGAAGAGGAAGAUGAUAGAGUGAAGAGGGUCAUGAAAAGGACAUUUUGUAAUUGGAUAAUUCCAUUUAAAAUUUCACACCAAACAANNNNNNNNNNNNNNNNNNNNNNNNNNNNNNNNNNNNNNNNNNNNNNNNNNNNNNNNNNNCCGAAUACCAUGAUAUUCGAGAUCCCGCAUACCAAACGACCCCAUAAAGAUAUCGAAUGAAGUAUGUACAUAUAUACACGAUAAACCAGGAAGUACAACCCACAGGCGGAUAUAUAUAAAGUUGUAAUGAUCAAACGAAUCAUAUGCACCACUUCCAAACUUUUUCUCAAUACCAGGGUCACUAUACUCAAAACUGGAGCAAUUGUACUCUUACCAAGUCCAAUAACAAUCGGGUCUAAAUCAACUUCUUAUUUAUUAAAAAAGGGACUCANNNNNNNNNNNNNNNNNNNNNNNNNNNNNNNNNNNNNNNNNNNNNNNNNNNNNNNNNAAAAGGGACUCAACUUUAGCAUUGAUCCUAAAUUUAAUUACCAACUUCUCCCUCUUCAAAGAGAAGUUAAAAUUUACAUUCAGAAUCUCCAGGUACCAUAACAACAUUAAUUGAUAUAAUUCAUUACUUUAGAAUAAAAACCCUAAAUUGAGACAUACGUUCUCCAACCAUGAUUCGCUACAAAUAUUUUAAGUUUCAAACUUAGUUUCGUCGGAGAGACCUGAUAUUACAAACAACUAAUUCAAAAGUUAUUCAUCGGAAUGGACAGCCGGCACGAAAUUUGUAAAUGUGUAAUUAAUAGAAUGGUCCUGUAAUAUCAACUAUGCAAGUAGAUACAUAUGUUUCAUAAAUUAAUACAUCUACGUGGAUCAACUAGCUAGUACGACACUCUGUCUAUGCGGGAUAACUGAAUNNNNNNNNNNNNNNNNNNNNNNNNNNNNNNNNNNNNNNNNNNNNNNNNNNNNNNNNNNNNNNNNNNNNNNNNNNNNNNNAAGUCAACAAUAUAUAAUACUUAACGUGCAGGAGGAAUAAAUUAGAAAUUAGGAAUUUAAAUAAGAAAUUUGAAUACUCGAUACAUAUUAAUGGUCAUUUAGGUUCAAUAUUUGAUUUAUUAUUAUUUGGUUAUAAAAAAUAAUUUACGGUGGUAUAUUAAGCUUUUAAGGACAACUUGCUUUGAUUAAAAAUGGCACAACGAAUAGUUUUUGGUAUAGUUUACGUAGUAUCACAUUAAAAAAAUAUAUUCACAAAUUGGUUAUUUAAUAUAUACAUUUCAAUUCAAAUUCGACUCAAUACAUGUUUCGAUCCUGCAUCAAACACUAAUUUAAUACCAAAAACAAUUUUAGUUAGUUGAAGGUUCAAAUGAUCAAAUUUUAAUUUACUUAAUUGUUGGUAAUAUUAUUUGGUGCAAUAGCUGAGGGGUGCAUGCACCCCCCCUCCCUUCAACGUGGCUCUGCCACUAUGCUCAAUUGCUUUUAUCCUUAUUGUGUGAAUUUAUCGACAUUGUAUCAUCUUAUGUUUUUAUUUGUACAAAUUUAUCCCGAUCAACAUGACAUAUUUAAUGCUUUUAUGUAUUUAACAUGUGAGUAUUGAGGUUUGAGGGGGGCGUGAAUGCUGAGUUAGUACUUUAUAAACUAUUACAAAAAAGUAUUUGUUAUAUAACAAAUGGCAUAAUCAUCGCAAAAAUCUUGAUCGUAUAUCUUUAUUUGUGGGUGCACUUCUUCGGUACGAUGCAUGCUGCCAGAAGACAUGCCCAAAAAGUGGAGAAACGGACUUUUUGUCAAAUCAACCCGGCCAUGUUAAAAUUGGUCUAAUUGACAAUUCCUCCUGUUGGGAGGUAUGUAUGCCAAUUUAUAUCCUCGUUAGACAUUUCAUGUGAAAUAUAAACCCCACAAAAUGAAAAAAUGAACGACAAAUAGCAAUUGGCCAUUAUAAUUAUAAGCAUAUACAUCUAAUUAACAAUGAUAUAAACUAUGGCAAUUAGAAAAGUAGUAUAUGAAUAGAAAUUGACUAAAUUUAUACAUUGAAGCUCCAUUCUCUAAUAAAUGUGAAAUUUAUUUUAAAUAAAAUGUUUAAUUUUUAACAGUUUCUUUUCCUUACAAUUUUUGUAUUUCCGCAAAGUUAAAUUUCAAUGUAACUCUAAUUAACUUGAUCUAGUUCAAUUUAACAAAUUAUCCAACCCGGUUUAAUCAUAUAAUUAAUUAAUAGCUAAAAUAAUAAAACAUGAAAACACUUACAUUUGAGAUUUUGAGUUAAUUUAAUGAUCGACAAUGUAGGCAUCGAUGCAAAUUAAUAAUACAUAUACAGAUUUACGUUUAAAAAAAAAUGAAACGAACCGAUUUAAUCUAUUGGACGAUUGAAUGUAUUUGAAGUAGUCGGACCAUCCGGUCCAAGCAAACGUGGGAAAUGACAUUAAAGAAGAUAAAUAACAUAAAAUCAAAAGGAGUGAAAGUCAAGAAACACAACAACAGCAAUGCCAAGUCCCCUCUGAAACAUGUCUCUCCUUCCUUCCUUUCCAUUUGGGUUUAAUUAAUUUGGCCCCAUUUCUAAUUUUUCAUUUCCAAAUGUUACACAACAUAAUUCGAAUUUUAUAUUAUGUAAUAAAAGCCAUUAAUUAAAAGCAUGUAAACAUGGGUGAAAUACUGUUUGGCUCGUGUUAUAUAUCGAUUCCAAGAAUUUACAAUAUUACGUAUUGGUCACAAAACAUACAAACAUGACAUAUUACUAUUUUUUUUGGUCGUAGAUAGUUUCCGAUAGAAGAAAUCGAGAUAGAAAAUAAACAAACAAACUAAUCAUCAGCCCAAUUCGUGAGAUCGGUCUCUAAACGAGUUGGGAGAUAUGAAAGAGCAUGUCUCGCCACUGUAUGGGCAGCUCCGUUGGCACCGCAUCAGACCAUUUGUACCACCAAUCGAGGGCACGCCGUCAAAAAGGCAGAUUCUCUGCGACAAUUGUUCCCCCUGCAACAUAUCUCGUGUUUCGUCCGAAAAGGCUAGAGAGAACAAGCCCUGCAUCACCCUUAAUGUCUACCUGCCAAAUGUCUCGCUGGAAGCACCAAUUACAAGCAUUUCAGACAGUCAGGAACUCCAAAACAUAAGGAUCAUGGAGGUCCGAAUACAUGUAAAUUUGGACCGGUAAAUUGUAAGUUUGAAGACUAGUAAAUUGUGAGUUUGGAGAUUGGUAUUGUUGUACAUAACAUUUAUUAUAAAUUGUGAGUAUGUAUAUAUAAGGUCCACAAAUAAGAAAGUAAGCUGAAGUCAUUAACUAGCUUUGCUUCGGAUGCCAAUUUGCCUGGAUAAUGUGUCGAGAUAAGAGUAGUAAUCAGCUAAAAUUUCCCCAUUUAUGUGCAUGAUUAAUAAUGGGGAUCUAGUUAAGACUUCUACUUAAUCUGCACCAUAUGUAUAAAAAAAAGAUAGAAAAAAUUAAGGGGGGUCUGAAAUUAAUUUAGUGCCGUGCCUAAUUAAACACAUUAGGUAGCAGUAUAUGCCGACCCCAGAACAGGACACGAAUAAUUCCAAGAUGUGUCUGAGUAAUAAUAAUUAUGAAAUUAUAAUCCAUGUUUUCGAGCUGUCCCAUUCACAUUCUGUCCCUCUACUUCAUUUGUUGCCAGCAAUACAACCAACCAAACUUCAUUUUCUCACGCCGUGCAUUUGGUUUUUUAUUUUAUUUUUUGCCAUAUAUAUAUAAUUUGGUUAGGUGAAUAUGAUCAUUUUUUAAAUACAUGGUAUUUUAAAACAUAUGGUAUUUUUAUAAAAUACGUAUAUAUGCGAUUUUGGAUUCAUUUUUAUAUGUUGGUGGUAGCAUGAAUAUGAAAUGAUUGCCAUGUCAUCUACGUACUGUGUUCUCCAAUUCACGGGUCAUUCAUCCAUAUGUUUCUUCUCAAUUACCCUGCUGGAAUCCAUUUCUCAAACUAAUUAAGGAACAAUGGCAUGAAAGUGAACAGGGCAAUGUGUGAAAAGAAUAGUGAUGAUCGACGUUAUAGUUUGNNNNNNNNNNNNNNNNNNNNNNNNNNNNNNNNNNNNNNNNNNNNNNNNNNNNNNNNNNNNNNNNNNNNNNNNNNNNNNNNNNNNNNNNNNNNNNNNNNNNNNNNNNNNNNNNNNNNNNNUAUAUGAUACGUUGUAUAUUUAAAUUUUUAAUUAAUAAAUUAUGCGGGGAUGGGGAUACCCAAUGGUAUUCGAAACCAUGAGUAUUCAAAAUCCACGAGUUUGGGAUGUGUAUGAAUAUUGAUAUUCGGAUGGGGACGGGGAUGGGAUGAAUUUUAUGAAUACGUAUGGAGAUGGGUAUAGGUACCCGUCCGAAACCCGCCCCAUUACUAAGCCUAAUUGUGAAAAAUGAAGAACAAAUCAAAAGUAAUUUGGGGUUAAAAAUAAUAAAAGUGUUAUAAAAACCCACUAUUUCAAAUACCUCAUGUCAAAAUACUACCGAUUCUAUUUUGGAUGCUAAACGUGAUUCUAUUUUGGAUGCCAAACGUGAUAUUUUAGCCAAAGUACCAUAUAAUGUGAUAUUUGGGCCAAAAUACCACUUCCAAAUAUUCAAUCCAAAUGACCCAUAAAUGUUGUCAAAUUUAAUCAUAUUACUUUGAAGCAAUCAACGUGAUGUCAAGUUUACUAAACACGAAUAGCAUAUACACGUACUACAUACGGAUGGUAUGUAUACAUGUUUAAUACGCAAAGUGCCAAACAAGCGGAGAAAAUUUAGACGACUUUAUAACAGUACAAGAACGUACCAAACAGGUUGUAUAUAGUCGAGUGGUUGUAAUAUUUGAUUUUGUUCCCAGAUAUUUUGGGUUCAAAGUUUGGAAUGUACAAUUAUUUCGGCGCCCAUAUGAUGACACCUCCGAUCUCACCUAGGCUGACGAUCGACAACCCCAAAGUUUAUCAGAUGACGACAUCACUUAAUUUGAUAUCCAUCGAAAGGAUUUUUCAUAUAAAAAUAUAUAAGAACGAAAAUUCUAAACACAUUUAGUACGAUACUAAACGACUCGUUAUUAUAUAUUAUGAGUUGACCGCACUUUAUUAACUAAUAGUGUGACUAUAUUGUAGUUGGCAAAAAUAUAUGGGUUAAGGAUUAACCAACUUCAUUAACAUAUAUAAUCUGAAGCGGUCAACUGAAAAUAAUGAGAUGGAAAGCCACACUGCGUUCCGUGUGCUGCGUUAAGGUGUAUUUUUGUAAUUUUGGAUGGGUUUUAUAUAAAUAAGUUAUUUUGUAUUAUUUUGUAUUACUUCUUUCUUACCAGACAAAUGCCUUCACCCCCAGUCUCUUAGCCCUAGCACGGUAUCUCGUCCCUCGCUCACAGAUUGCUAUCAGCAGAAAGUUUUAUGGAGUUGUCAUUACUAACUUUUAUGGAAAGAUUACCGAUGGUGAAGUCGGGAAGCUUGCGUGUUCAUCCGCCCUGGUUGCCAAAGCGAAAGCUCUACUUCAAGUCCUACGACAUGCUGAGAGGUCCAACCUCCAUACCCGCAUCCUCACCGGCGAUCUCUUGCUGGUUAUUGCCCUUAAUAGUACUAAAGAUGAGUGGUCGUGGGAGUGUCACACCUGGCUCCUCCUAAUGAAGGACAUCCUCCUUGUUCAUGACCACAUCUCCCUAUCAUUCAUUCCUAAAGGACUUAAUAGAGCCACAAACUACAUAGCUAAGUAUGCUCGCGCUGACUCACUUGAUCCCAACUGAGUUAAUUAUAAUCUCAUUUCGUGCCUUAUCUAUGACCUUCCCUUGAAUGAAUACAAACCAAUUUUCUUGUAAGAAAACAAGAACUAGAAGGAGAAUUGAAGUAUACACAUAUCAAUCUAACCUCAUGCAAGAGAAAUUGUUAUUUCGAGAGCUAGCAUGAUUUCUAUAACAUUACCUACAAGUUAAAUUUGAUAGCAGAAUGCUCAAAUACCAAUUAAGUGAACAACUAUUACAUUUAUAAUAACUCAAAUUAUCGAAAGAUGCUUAACUUGCGAUUAAUUUGUAUAAAAUAAAAACCAAAAAAAGAGGCAAAAUUUGUAAUUAGUUUAUAACAAUUCACCGCACAUCCACUCAAACAAAAAUUAACGACAUGGAGAUUGAAGUGUGCAUAAAUUCAUCUAAUAUUGUGCAAGAAAAAUUGCUAAGUUGACAUGCAUGAUCCGAUAACAGGACCUAUAGGUCAAAUUUGAUAACAAUAGUGCUUAAAUACGGAUUUAUUUUUCUAGACACUUUUUAAUACAAAAUAGUUUAUACGAGAAGGGAAGGAGAGUUAGAGAAAUAAGGGAAUGGAGGAAGAAAUAAGUUCUAAGAUUUGUAGAUAGGAAUUAUAGAGAGGGAGGAGGGGUUGUGGGUUCAAAAUUCCAGCCAAUAAUCAACCAUAACUUAAACGAUUGAUUAUAACUUUGGGGUAUCUUACAAGUUUAAUAAAAAUCCGCUCAAAUAUUAUGUUGAAAAUUACAUUACAAUAACUUGAGUUAUCGUAUAGAUGCUCAACAAUUAAUUUGUAUAAAAUAAAACCAAAAAACAUAAAUGGGAAAAUGGCGGUGGGUGGAAGGGUUUGAAUAGCUGUGAAAAGGACUGAUGCUGAUGAGAAAGUACCAACUCUUUUCUUCACCAAAGUGUGUUCAAAAUCGUGUACAUGUGGGGAUCGGAUUGAUUUUAACACUACACCAACUUCUUCACAAAACUCUGUGGCAGGACUGGACCAGCCUCUCUUUCUGCAACGUAACCCACAACCCAUAUUGAUCUUUGCAGUUGCGGGACAAACCAGCCCCCAAUUUCAGGUAAACAAAAUUCUUUGCACGGUACACUCCAGCAAUCCCAAACCCCUCAAGCACCACCAGUUAACUUUUUUCUUCACCCAAUCCAACUUUCCAUUCAACAAAAAGCUUCCCACCUUUCAAGCUUGUGCACGUGCAACUAAUUACUACCCUCCUCAACAAAAACCUUCUUGUAAUAUUUAAUUAUAACAUGUUCAUGUACACUACCACAUAUAUAUAUAAUCAAUAAACAAACCAAGAACCAACACACAUUGAUGACUUGUUAGUAGUGUAGUUGAAUCAAUAUUCACUAAUUUGGUCGAUUUUGAUGUGGGUUUUUCUUCUCUCCUGGAACUAGAGGAGCUAAUUAAAAAUUAGCCGAAUUGAUCUUGUAUAUAAUUAGGUUGAUUCAAUUCAAUCAACCGAUUAAAACUUGUCAAACCUAAAGUUUACUCAUUUUCAAUCAGUUCAUAACCCAAUGAAUUUGUAAUCCAAUAAAUUCAAAACACUCUUAAUAACUUGUAGCUAGAUUGUCCAAGUUGCAAGGAUGAAAACUGACAUGUCAAUGUGGAUCAAUAUAUAUGGUAGCUAGCUAGCUAGCUAGUACAUUGAUUUAAUUAGUUUCCCCACCCUACAUUCAGCCGAGAGAAAUUAAAAUUGUAUUGUAGGAAUAAAAUAAAAUAAAAAGUAAAAAAAAACAACCUGAAAAUGGGAUGAAGCUAUAGCCAUGGAGUGAGUACAUUUUGUGAAUUGGAAAAGAAGAAAAAGAAGAACAAUAUUUAAAAUUAAAAAAGCAAAAUGCCUGGCUUUCCCUUGUACGCCGCCGGCCGGCCGGCCGCCUGCCUGACUAGGUUGAGGAUGGAGGAGGAGGAGGAUGACAACAACGACGGCGGCUUUCUUCAGAAACCAUCGUUAUUGAUGAUGAUGACUCGCCAGGCACCCUUGCAACAUCCGACGACGGUGGUAGUUCCUCUUCUUUUUCAUGAUCAGGAUCGCCAUAGUAGUGUUCUGUUCCUCUGAGGUUUUAAGGAGAGAGAUGGGGAGGCAAAGAGAUGAUGAAAUUAAGAAGAAGAGGGAAGGGAAGAGGAAUGGUUCCCAAGGAGAAGAAGACGAGAGGGUUUUCCAAUAAAUUAAUUAAUAUUUACUUUGGUGGCCGUGUGACCCUAUUUCUUUUAAGGACCCCAAAAUAAAUUUUUACAAAAUACCAAAAUAAUGAAUAAUGUAACACACAAGGAAUAGUGUUGUGAGUGGUGACUAGUGACCG
Molecule: long non-coding RNA, 17791 nt
Filed under: Linum usitatissimum (flax)
Lineage: Eukaryota; Viridiplantae; Streptophyta; Magnoliopsida; Malpighiales; Linaceae
Description: long non-coding RNA (LUSI_LNC007033)
Source: RNAcentral